UCUCCUACGGGGGGCAGCAGUGGGGGAUAUUGGACAAUGGGGGAAACCCUGAUCCAGCGAUGCCGCGUGAGGGAAGAAGGUUUGCGGAUUGUAAACCUCUGUGGAGGGGGACGAUAAUGACGGUACCCCUUUAGGAAGCCACGGCUAACUACGUGCCAGCAGCCGCGGUAAUACGUAGGGGGCAAGCGUUAUCCGGAUUUACUGGGUGUAAAGGGGGCGCAGACGGCAGCGCAAGCCAGGAGUGAAAGCCCGGGGCCCAACCCCGGGACUGCUCUUGGAACUGCGCGGCUGGAGUGCAGGAGGGG
Molecule: ribosomal RNA, 305 nt
Filed under: uncultured bacterium
Lineage: Bacteria
Description: partial 16S ribosomal RNA
Rfam family: Bacterial small subunit ribosomal RNA
Source: RNAcentral